This 72-nucleotide transfer RNA is filed under the name Camelus bactrianus (Bactrian camel). It matches the Rfam family "tRNA". From Rfam's summary of the family: Transfer RNA (tRNA) molecules are approximately 80 nucleotides in length. Their secondary structure includes four short double-helical elements and three loops (D, anti-codon, and T loops). The record is from Rfam by way of RNAcentral. Lineage: Eukaryota; Metazoa; Chordata; Mammalia; Artiodactyla; Camelidae. RNAcentral also lists the same sequence under 1 other name.
GGAAGUAUAGCUCAGUGGUAGAGUUCGUGUCUAGCAUGCACAAGGUCCUGGGUUCAAUCCCCAGUACUGCCA